RNAcentral lists this long non-coding RNA (1020 nucleotides) under Homo sapiens (human). RNAcentral's name for it is "HSALNT0209902". Lineage: Eukaryota; Metazoa; Chordata; Mammalia; Primates; Hominidae. The record is from RNAcentral.
CCAGAAGGAAGCACUGCAUUAGCGAGUCCUGAAGAUCCUUUCCAGCUCUUUGAUUAUAUGACAUUCUGACUAGCACAAAGAGGCACACCUGCAAUCCUACUGAGAGUUCCAUGGAUCAUUAAUGAUUAUUCAUGGUGAAGGAAGCAGAGUUCUUAAGAAUAACUGUACAAUGUGCUAGGAGUGCAACAUCCCUGAGAUAAGGAGAGACUGACUGGAACAGCAUGGGCUCAGUGCCAGUUCCACCCUAAAAGGAGGAUGUUCUUCAAUGCUUUAAAUCAGCAACUCACAUGACCUCAAGAUAUCAAACAUGGGAAUGGCGGGCUGCUUUCCAUGCUCCCCUCUCUGUGGUUCUGGUGGGAAAUACCCAGAGGAGACUUCACCUGCCCUGGGCAGCUUUCCUGAGCCUUGGGCCAGCUCACAGUGAGUCCUAGGCUUCUGUUGUUCCUUGCUGCCUAACGUUUGAGGGCAUUGCAUUCUCUCAGAAGAGGAGUACAACUUGAUUUCAUGUGCUCUCCCAAGAAGUGAAAUUGAUUAGUUUCUUACAGCUUUAUAUUUUUGUCUGUAUUUUUUAAGGUUUCCUACAAACCAUUUUAAAUGUGUCUAAUAAAUGAUGGACAUUCUUUCUUGGAGAUCAUCUGUAAAUGCAUGCAUGCUGGUGGUGGUGGUAUGGGUAGUACAGAGGAGUAGAACAAACAAAAAUCUUUCAGAAAGAAGGGGAUUAUCUUAUGUUUUAUGUAGUUAUCAUUGUAUAAUCUCUUAUACUUUUUAUUUAUUUAUUUGAAAUAGGGUCUUGCUUUGUCACCCAGGCUGGGGUAUAGGAGCACAGUCAUGGCUCACUGCAGCCUCAACCUCCUGAGCUCAAGUGAUCCUCCCACCUUGGUCUCCCAAAAUGCUAGCAUUACAGGCAUGGGCCACUGUGCUCAGCCCCUUUAUGUUUUUUAAUUGUGAUGAUAUUUCCCUGCGUGGUAUUUUUUUUCGUGUACAAAUGCCAAAAGUCUAAUAAAAGAAGUUGAUAUUUCU